RNAcentral lists this long non-coding RNA (1474 nucleotides) under Lonchura striata (white-rumped munia). RNAcentral's name for it is "domestica (Bengalese finch) lncRNA (ENSLSDG00000006913.1)". The record is from RNAcentral. Lineage: Eukaryota; Metazoa; Chordata; Aves; Passeriformes; Estrildidae.
UUUCCAGGUUGUUUAUUCUGUUUAUCUCUCACAUGUUCUGCUGCCCUGCCCAGCUCUGUCCUGCAGGGCAGCGUGUGGGGCUCUGCCCUCAGUGGGAUGUUACAAACAUUAAAUACCAGAAACUCCCUGUGCUAUAUUUACAAUAUAAAUGGUAAAUUUAUUUUAAAUUGUAACAUCCCUCAGUGGGACGUGACAAACAUUAAAUACCAGAAACUCCCUGGGCUGGAUUUACAAUAUAAAUGGUAAAUUUAUUUUAAAUUGUAACAUCCCUCAGUGGGAUGUGACAAACAUUCAAUACCAGAAACUCCCUGGGCUGCAUUUACAAUAUAAAUGGUAAAUUUAUUUUAAAUUGUAACAUCCCUCAGUGGGAUGUGACAAACAUUAAAUACCAGAAACUCCCUGGGCUGCAUUUACAAGAACGUGCCAAUAUCUGUCACCUACGUUGGACAGUGUGUCCCCAGCCUGAACCAACAGAAAAAUGCCAACACCACAGUGAGACAUGGAGGGCAUGAAGGAGGAGAAAAAGGACAAGGCACACCCAAUUUCCUCCAGCUUGUCCCCUUUGGAUCCCUCAUCUAGAAUCUUAAAAUUUUACUUUUGGACACGUGCCACACUUUGUUAUUACUUAUAUCAAACACUCAGAGCUUGUAAUUCAUCCUGUAAGAUUGAAAACUCUUCCAUGGACAGAGAUCAGAGACAGUGUCUAUGGGGGGUCUGUACAGGGGGGUUCCUGACCCCUGCCAGGGACCCAGGACUUCAGGGCAGCCAAAGCGACGCCCUGGACUGCCACAAUCCCCCUGCAGGUCCAUGGGGGUGCAGAGAUCCCCUGCAGAUCCAUGGGAUGCAGAGAUCCAGUGGAGAUCCAUGGGAUGCAGAAAUCCAGUGGAGAUCCAGGGAUGCAGAGAUCCCCUGCAGAUCCAUGGGAUGCAGAGAUCCAGUGCAGAUCCAUGGGAUGCAGAAAUCCUCCUGCAGAUCCAUGGGAUGCAGAAAUCCCCUGCAGAUCCAUGGGAUGCAGAGAUCCAGUGCGGAUCCAUGGGAUGCAGAGAUCCCCUGCAGAUCCAUGGGAUGCAGAGAUCCAGUGGAGAUCCAUGGGAUGCAGAGAUCCCCUGCAGAUCCAUGGGGGUGCAGAGAUCCAGUGGAGAUCCAUGAGAUGCAGAGAUCCCCUGCAGAUCCAUGGGAUGCAGAGAUCCAGUGGAGAUCCAUGGGAUGCAGAGAUCCAGUGGAGAUCCAUGGGAUGCAGAAAUCCGCUGCAGAUCCAUGGAAAUACAGAGAUCCCGCAGCUGGGAGCGGGGAGGCGUGGGGAAAGCUGCAUUUAAGGCUCUGCACUGACUUCUCCUUCUCCUGCUCCGAGUCUUUGGAGUUUUCCGACAGAAAUCUCUCCCCUGCCCCACCCACCCACAAGGCUUGGGGCAGGUUUCCCUUUUCGGGGGAAAUCAAAGCGAAUCUUUAUGUUUUGGAGGAGGUUUUUUGCUGA